AUGGAGGCUAUAUACAGGGUAUUACGGUACAGAGUCAAUGUGGAGGCUAUAUACAUUAUAUACAGUAUUACGGUACAGAGUCAAUGUGGAGGCUAUAUACAUUAUAUACACGGUACAGAGUCAAUGUGGAGGCUAUAUACAUUAUAUACAGUAUUACGGUACAGAGUCAAUGUGGAGGCUAUAUACAUUAUAUACAGUAUUACGGUACAGAGUCAAUGUGGAGGCUAUAUACAUUAUAUACAGUAUUACGGUACAGAGUCAAUGUGGAGGCUAUAUACAUUAUAUACAGUAUUACGGUACAGAGUCAAUGUGGAGGCUAUAUACAUUAUAUACAGUAUUACGGUACAGAGUCAAUGUGGAGGCUAUAUACAUUAUAUACAGUAUUACGGUACAGAGUCAAUGUGGAGGCUAUAUACAUUAUAUACAGUAUUACGGUACAGAGUCAAUGUGGAGGCUAUAUACAUUAUAUACAGUAUUACGGUACAGAGUCAAUGUGGAGGCUAUAUACAUUAUCUACAGUAUUAUGGUACAGAGUCAAUGUGGAGGCUAUAUACAUUAUAUACAGUAUUACGGUACAGAGUCAAUGUGGAGGCUAUAUACAUUAUAUACAGUAUUACGGUACAGAGUCAAUGUGGAGGCUAUAUAAAUUAUAUACAGUAUUACGGUACAGAGUCAAUGUGGAGGCUAUAUACAUUAUAUACAGUAUUACGGUACAGAGUCAAUGUGGAGGCUAUAUACAUUAUAUACAGUAUUACGGUACAGAGUCAAUGUGGAGGCUAUAUACAUUAUAUACAGUAUUACGGUACAGAGUCAAUGUGGAGGCUAUAUACAUUAUAUACAGUAUUACGGUACAGAGUCAAUGUGGAGGCUAUAUACAUUAUAUACAGUAUUACGGUACAGAGUCAAUGUGGAGGCUAUAUACAUUAUAUACAGUAUUACGGUACAGAGUCAAUGUGGAGGCUAUAUACAUUAUAUACAGUAUUACGGUACAGAGUCAAUGUGGAGGCUAUAUACAUUAUAUACAGUAUUACGGUACAGAGUCAAUGUGGAGGCUAUAUAAAUUAUAUACAGUAUUACGGUACAGAGUCAAUGUGGAGGCUAUAUACAUUAUAUACAGUAUUACGGUACAGAGUCAAUGUGGAGGCUAUAUACAUUAUAUACAGUAUUACGGUACAGAGUCAAUGUGGAGGCUAUAUACAUUAUAUACAGUAUUACGGUACAGAGUCAAUGUGGAGGCUAUAUACAUUAUAUACAGUAUUACGGUACAGAGUCAAUGUGGAGGCUAUAUACAUUAUAUACAGUAUUACGGUACAGAGUCAAUGUGGAGGCUAUAUACAGGGGGUACCUGUACAGAGUCAAUGUGGAGGCUAUAUUCAGGGGGUACCGGUACAGAGUCAAUGUGGAGGCUAUAUACACGGGGUACCGGUACAGAGUCAAUGGGGAGGCUAUAUACAGGGGGUACCGGUACAGAGUCAAUGUGGAGGCUAUAUACAGAGGGUACCAGUACAGAGUCAAUGUGGAGGCUAUAUACAGGGGGUACCGGUACAGAGUCAAUGUGGAGGCUAUAUACAGGGGGUACCGGUACAGAGUCAAUGUGGAGGCUAUAUACAGGGGGUACCGGUACAGAGUCAAUGUGGAGGCUAUAUACAGAGGGUACCAGUACAGAGUCAAUGUGGAGGCUAUAUACAGAGGGUACCAGUACAGAGUCAAUGUGGAGGCUAUAUACAGGGGGUACCAGUACAGAGUCAAUGUGGAGGCUAUAUACAGAGGGUACCAGUACAGAGUCAAUGUGGAGGCUAUAUACAGGGGGUACCGGUACAGAGUCAAUGUGGAGGCUAUAUACAGAGGGUACCGGUACAGAGUCAAUGGGGAGGCUAUAUACAUUAUAUACAGUAUUACGGUACAGAGUCAAUGUGGAGACUAUAUACAGGGGGUACCUGUACAGAGUCAAUGUGGAGGCUAUAUACAGGGGGUACCAGUACAGAGUCAAUGUGGAGGCUAUAUACAGAGGGUACCAGUACAGAGUCAAUGUGGAGGCUAUAUACAGGGGGUACCGGUACAGAGUCAAUGUGGAGGCUAUAUACAGAGGGUACCAGUACAGAGUCAAUGUGGAGGCUAUAUACAUUAUAUACAGUAUUACGGUACAGAGUCAAUGUGGAGGCUAUAUACAUUAUAUACAGUAUUACGGUACAGAGUCAAUGUGGAGGCUAUAUACAUUAUAUACAGUAUUACGGUACAGAGUCAAUGUGGAGGCUAUAUACAUUAUAUACACGGUACAGAGUCAAUGUGGAGGCUAUAUACAUUAUAUACACGGUACAGAGUCAAUGUGGAGGCUAUAUACAGGGGGUACCGGUACAGAGUCAAUGUGGAGGCUAUAUACAGGGGGUACCGGUACAGAGUCAAUGUGGAGGCUAUAUACAGGGGGUACCGGUACAGAGUCAAUGUGGAGGCUAUAUACAGGGGGUACCAGUACAGAGUCAAUGUGGAGGCUAUAUACAGGGGGUACCGGUACAGAGUCAAUGUGGAGGCUAUAUACAGGGGGUACCAGUACAGAGUCAAUGUGGAGGCUAUAUACAGGGGGUACCGGUACAGAGUCAAUGUGGAGGCUAUAUACAUUAUAUACAGUAUUACGGUACAGGGUCAAUGUGGAGGCUAUGUACAGUGGGUACCUGUACAGAGUCAAUGUGGAGGUUAUAUACAGGGGGUACCGGUACAGAGUCAAUGUGGAGGGGCACAGGUUAG
This is a long non-coding RNA of Oncorhynchus mykiss (rainbow trout), 2742 nucleotides long. The record is from Ensembl. NCBI's taxonomy places the organism in Eukaryota, Metazoa, Chordata, Actinopteri, Salmoniformes, Salmonidae.